CAGUAGCCGCGGUAAUACGGAGGGGGCUAGCGUUGUUCGGAAUUACUGGGCGUAAAGGGUGCGUAGGCGGCUUGACAAGUCUUGUGUGAAAUCUAUGGGCUCAACCCAUAGUCUGCACGGGAAACUGUCGGGCUUGAGAAUGGGAGAGGUGAGUGGAAUUUCCGGUGUAGCGGUGAAAUGCGUAGAUAUCGGAAGGAACACCUGUGGCGAAAGCGGCUCACUGGACCAUUUCUGACGCUGAUGCACGAAAGCUAGGGGAGCAAACAGGAUUAGAUACCCCUGUAGUCCCUGUCUAUUAUAC
This 301-nucleotide ribosomal RNA is filed under the name uncultured bacterium. RNAcentral describes it as "partial 16S ribosomal RNA". It matches the Rfam family "Bacterial small subunit ribosomal RNA", at positions 509 to 807 of the family's 1533-position model. The record is from RNAcentral.